CAGAGAAUAUGCGAAGAUCCAACUGACUGAGGUUUUUGGACCAUGGUUGACCAUGCUCACUGAAACCAUUGAAAGUCAAACUACUGCACCACCAACAGACCUGUCAAAAGUCUACCAGAGAUUUGUCUGCAGACCCAG
Fukomys damarensis (Damara mole-rat) is the source of this 138-nucleotide long non-coding RNA. RefSeq lists it as uncharacterized. The record is from RefSeq and is a predicted model, not a curated record. The transcript is spliced from 3 exons. Lineage: Eukaryota; Metazoa; Chordata; Mammalia; Rodentia; Bathyergidae.